This 462-nucleotide ribosomal RNA is filed under the name uncultured Streptococcus sp. Its description in RNAcentral is "bacterial SSU rRNA". It matches the Rfam family "Bacterial small subunit ribosomal RNA", at positions 338 to 792 of the family's 1533-position model. The record is from RNAcentral. Lineage: Bacteria; Bacillati; Bacillota; Bacilli; Lactobacillales; Streptococcaceae.
CCUACGGGGGGCAGCAGUAGGGAAUCUUCGGCAAUGGGGGGAACCCUGACCGAGCAACGCCGCGUGAGUGAAGAAGGUUUUCGGAUCGUAAAGCUCUGUUGUAAGAGAAGAACGAGUGUGAGAGUGGAAAGUUCACACUGUGACGGUAUCUUACCAGAAAGGGACGGCUAACUACGUGCCAGCAGCCGCGGUAAUACGUAGGUCCCGAGCGUUAUCCGGAUUUAUUGGGCGUAAAGCGAGCGCAGGCGGUUAGAUAAGUCUGAAGUUAAAGGCUGUGGCUUAACCAUAGUACGCUUUGGAAACUGUUUAACUUGAGUGCAGAAGGGGAGAGUGGAAUUCCAUGUGUAGCGGUGAAAUGCGUAGAUAUAUGGAGGAACACCGGUGGCGAAAGCGGCUCUCUGGUCUGUAACUGACGCUGAGGCUCGAAAGCGUGGGGAGCAAACAGGAGUAGAGACCCGAGUA